CCCCGAGCGCGGCCGCGGACGAAGAUGGCGACCGCCAUGUACUUGGAGCACUAUCUGGACAGUAUCGAGAACCUUCCCUGCGAACUUCAGAGGAACUUCCAGCUGAUGCGAGAGCUGGACCAAAGGACAGAAGAUAAGAAAGCAGAGAUUGACAUCCUGGCUGCAGAGUACAUCUCCACGGUGAAGACGCUGUCUCCAGACCAGCGCGUGGAGCGCCUGCAGAAGAUCCAGAAUGCCUACAGCAAGUGCAAGGAAUACAGUGACGACAAAGUGCAGCUGGCCAUGCAGACCUACGAGAUGGUGGAUAAACACAUUCGAAGGCUUGAUGCAGACCUGGCGCGCUUUGAGGCAGAUCUGAAGGACAAGAUGGAGGGCAGUGAUUUUGAAAGCUCCGGAGGGCGAGGGUUAAAAAAAGGCCGGGGUCAGAAAGAAAAAAGAGGGUCCCGGGGCCGAGGCAGGAGGACGUCAGAGGAAGAUACACCAAAGAAGAAGAAGCAUAAAGGAGGUGGCAACAGCGUUCUGAGUCUUCCUGCUCCUUCCUGCUCGGAACCUGAAGGCCCUGUCCCGACCGUGCCUUUUCUGCGUGAAAGUGGGACUCCUCCUGGUCUCUUCCUCACCCAGUGCUGUUUCUCAAGGUGGCAGUGCUGCUCCUGUCCCAUUGCAAGACGUCGAGACGGGCUGGUAAGGCCAGCUCUGAAGCUGGGCUCUGACGUCCAAGGCACCAAGCAGGCCCCUUCCAGAGGGACAGGAGGAUGGUGCAGGUGGGCAGACGGGUCAUCCUGAGGACCAGUCGGUUGGACCCAAAGCCUGGCCUGCGGGGUGGGAGUGUGCACUCGGGUGCCUCCAAGGGCAUCAUCCUGGGUGUUUGCAGGAGCCCGCCUGCCCCUGGGCUCUGGAGUUCUGUGGCGCGCGUCCCUGACCCAUCAGCACAGUGGGUUUUCAUGCCCCUCGUGGUCACGCUGCGGUGCCAGGCCGCUCUGCCUCAAGGCAGGUCCUGUUCCCUGCUGGGGACCCAGGAACACACACCAUCUUGUCCCUGUGGCCUGCCCUCUUCAGGCCUGUUCCCCACGUGCCCGGGGCUCUUCCUGGAAUGCAGUGUGCCUAGACUGCACAGAUGCUCCGUGUCUCAUCUGAGAUCCCGUGACCUGAGGCUGCCCCCUGCACUGUUGCUGCCCUGUGGCCUUGCUCUGGCGAGGCAGAACCUAUGUGUGUGGAUGAAGGGCAAUGUCACCUGUAGCACCUGGAAUCCCAGGGCUUGGACAGGCAGCCAGCCCCCUGCUAGGAGCCACCUGGAGUGCUGGGAAGCCAUCGGGGCUGGGCGCGGAAGGGCUCGCUGGCACUGUCUGGCGAGGGGUGCCUGCCACACCUUGGGGAGUUAGCACAGAGGGUGCCUCUUGUGGCAGUGGUGCUGAAGGGAGUCAGCAGCCGCUGACAGUUGGGGUCACCCUGGCCUGUGCAAGGGACAGGGCUCCCCAUGGCCUCCUGGUUGCCUCCCUCAGGGCUGGUAGCAGCACUCCCUGGCCACAUGCCAUGGCACUCCCUCAGGCGAGACUGAGAGGCCAGUGAGGCCUGCAUGCUGGCCUCAGCUUCUGGGGUGCCCUUGCUGGGUGGUCCCCUCAGGCCCCCGGCCCUCUCCCACAGCCGUCAAAUCUGGCCAGCGCCCUCGAACCUGGUGAUGCUGAGACACGGGUCAAGUGUCAGCUCAAGAUGUCGGGUCGGGCUUUGUGGACAGAAUUGGACUCGGCACAGAAGAGGAGGGCGUCAGAGAGCGUUUCGGGGACGGUUGGCAGCAGAGGGUGCUGCCCUGCUCUCCGCGGGUGAGAGGUGACUCGAGAGUGCAGGAGCCCCUUGGAGGUGAAGCCACAGGUGGCAUCCCAGAAUCGGCAGGAGACUGAGACGUAGACCCUUGCGUGCCGCUGUUGGAGGAGAGACCCGAAGACUACUUGAGACUGUUGCUUGAAAGCAGUGUCGGCAGCACCUGGACUUGGACUUGUGACACUGAUGGAUUUCAGCUCUAAAGAGAAACGCCUGUCUAUUCCCAGACAGAGAGAAAGAGCAGAAGAGCAGAUUACCCACAAAGGACAGACUUAGGUGGGCGCCCCUGUGCCAGAGGGCAGCGGGGAGGCAGGGUGCAUGCUGAGCCCGAGUGUGUGUGUAUGUGUAUAGGCAAUUGCAAAGGCGUAGAAAAGCUUUAGACAGGGUAUCCAAGGAAAAGCUGAGUGUUGAUUCCCUGUGGGACCCAGACUUCUGCUCCUUGGCUUUCCCUGAUCGUGACUGUUUUUCUCACGGCCACGUUCCUCCUGCUAACCUGCCGUGUUUACGUACCAACUAGAUAUUCUUGGGUUAGAGGGUGGGAUAGGGAAGAUACUUUUUCUUU
RNAcentral lists this small RNA (2377 nucleotides) under Pongo abelii (Sumatran orangutan). Its description in RNAcentral is "processed transcript". Lineage: Eukaryota; Metazoa; Chordata; Mammalia; Primates; Hominidae. The record is from RNAcentral.